RNAcentral lists this ribosomal RNA (1539 nucleotides) under Enterobacter cloacae. RNAcentral describes it as "bacterial SSU rRNA". It matches the Rfam family "Bacterial small subunit ribosomal RNA". Lineage: Bacteria; Pseudomonadati; Pseudomonadota; Gammaproteobacteria; Enterobacterales; Enterobacteriaceae. The record is from RNAcentral.
AAAUUGAAGAGUUUGAUCAUGGCUCAGAUUGAACGCUGGCGGCAGGCCUAACACAUGCAAGUCGAACGGUAGCACAGAGAGCUUGCUCUCGGGUGACGAGUGGCGGACGGGUGAGUAAUGUCUGGGAAACUGCCUGAUGGAGGGGGAUAACUACUGGAAACGGUAGCUAAUACCGCAUAACGUCGCAAGACCAAAGAGGGGGACCUUCGGGCCUCUUGCCAUCAGAUGUGCCCAGAUGGGAUUAGCUAGUAGGUGGGGUAACGGCUCACCUAGGCGACGAUCCCUAGCUGGUCUGAGAGGAUGACCAGCCACACUGGAACUGAGACACGGUCCAGACUCCUACGGGAGGCAGCAGUGGGGAAUAUUGCACAAUGGGCGCAAGCCUGAUGCAGCCAUGCCGCGUGUAUGAAGAAGGCCUUCGGGUUGUAAAGUACUUUCAGCGGGGAGGAAGGUGUUGUGGUUAAUAACCGCAGCAAUUGACGUUACCCGCAGAAGAAGCACCGGCUAACUCCGUGCCAGCAGCCGCGGUAAUACGGAGGGUGCAAGCGUUAAUCGGAAUUACUGGGCGUAAAGCGCACGCAGGCGGUCUGUCAAGUCGGAUGUGAAAUCCCCGGGCUCAACCUGGGAACUGCAUUCGAAACUGGCAGGCUAGAGUCUUGUAGAGGGGGUAGAAUUCCAGGUGUAGCGGUGAAAUGCGUAGAGAUCUGGAGGAAUACCGGUGGCGAAGGCGGCCCCCUGGACAAAGACUGACGCUCAGGUGCGAAAGCGUGGGGAGCAAACAGGAUUAGAUACCCUGGUAGUCCACGCCGUAAACGAUGUCGAUUUGGAGGUUGUGCCCUUGAGGCGUGGCUUCCGGAGCUAACGCGUUAAAUCGACCGCCUGGGGAGUACGGCCGCAAGGUUAAAACUCAAAUGAAUUGACGGGGGCCCGCACAAGCGGUGGAGCAUGUGGUUUAAUUCGAUGCAACGCGAAGAACCUUACCUGGUCUUGACAUCCACAGAACUUUCCAGAGAUGGAUUGGUGCCUUCGGGAACUGUGAGACAGGUGCUGCAUGGCUGUCGUCAGCUCGUGUUGUGAAAUGUUGGGUUAAGUCCCGCAACGAGCGCAACCCUUAUCCUUUGUUGCCAGCGGUCCGGCCGGGAACUCAAAGGAGACUGCCAGUGAUAAACUGGAGGAAGGUGGGGAUGACGUCAAGUCAUCAUGGCCCUUACGACCAGGGCUACACACGUGCUACAAUGGCGCAUACAAAGAGAAGCGACCUCGCGAGAGCAAGCGGACCUCAUAAAGUGCGUCGUAGUCCGGAUUGGAGUCUGCAACUCGACUCCAUGAAGUCGGAAUCGCUAGUAAUCGUAGAUCAGAAUGCUACGGUGAAUACGUUCCCGGGCCUUGUACACACCGCCCGUCACACCAUGGGAGUGGGUUGCAAAAGAAGUAGGUAGCUUAACCUUCGGGAGGGCGCUUACCACUUUGUGAUUCAUGACUGGGGUGAAGUCGUAACAAGGUAACCGUAGGGGAACCUGCGGUUGGAUCACCUCCUUA